ACUACGGGUGGCAGCAGUGGGGAAUAUUGGACAAUGGGGGAAACCCUGAUCCAGCGACGCCGCGUGAGUGAAGAAGUAUUUCGGUACGUAAAGCUCUAUCAGCAGGAAAGAAAAUGACGGUACCUGACUAAGAAGCCCCGGCUAACUACGUGCCAGCAGCCGCUGUAAUAAGUAGGGGGCAAGCGUUAUCCGGAUUUACUGGGUGUAAAGGGAGCGUAGACGGCAGCGCAAGUCUGGAGUGAAAUGCCGGGGCCCAACCCCGGAACUGCCCUGGAAACUGUGAAGCUGGAGUGCAGGAGAGGUAAGCGGAAUUCCUGGUGUAGCGGUGAAAUGCGUAGAUAUCAGGAGGAACACCGGCGGCGAAGGCGGCUUACUGGACUGUAACUGACGUUGAGGCUCGAAGGCGUGGGGAGCAAACAGGAUUAGAUACCCGUGUAGUC
This 440-nucleotide ribosomal RNA is filed under the name uncultured bacterium. RNAcentral's name for it is "partial 16S ribosomal RNA". It matches the Rfam family "Bacterial small subunit ribosomal RNA", at positions 338 to 795 of the family's 1533-position model. The record is from RNAcentral.